AUUUUCUACUUACAUACUACUUGUUGCCUCAGGAGCACUGAAGAGAGAUAUGUUUUAUUGUCUGUUCAGAUCACAAAUGGAAGAAUUGAGGACACUGUAUCUGCAGGGGUGGACCGUUUUGGGAGUAAGUGUCAAAACUGAUGCUCAAAGAAAAGAUUAACUGGAUUGUGAGUGUACCAUGCCGUGAGGUCACAAGAACAUGGUUUGUCUUGGGGUUAAAAUCAAAAGGAGUAACUGUGUCUUCUUAACCACUUUAAGAGGUCAUGUGCCACAAUUGACAUUCACUCACUAAAGAGGUCAUGAGACACU
Sardina pilchardus (European sardine) is the source of this 309-nucleotide long non-coding RNA. RefSeq lists it as uncharacterized. The record is from RefSeq and is a predicted model, not a curated record. The transcript is spliced from 3 exons. NCBI's taxonomy places the organism in Eukaryota, Metazoa, Chordata, Actinopteri, Clupeiformes, Clupeidae.